GAAAGAUUAAAUGUCAAGCUUGCAGAGUUGUUGUCAUUACUUACGUGUGAUACAAAAUCUGUCAACAAGAAAAGGAACAGACCCAAGAUCUCUGUUGAAUUGCGGGAAAUUUUGGCUCGGAUGGAUUCUAGAAUCAAUGACCUCUAUACCUCUUUGCCUACUAAUGCUAUGCUUAUCAUUUGCACUGGUCACGGUGACAUAGCACUUGUACAGAGAUUGAGAAAAAUGCUACAAGAGCAGAGUGAAACAAGCAUAUGCCGUGAUAAGAUUGUCAAGAUCUUGGAAGAG
RNAcentral lists this unclassified non-coding RNA (288 nucleotides) under Hevea brasiliensis (rubber tree). Lineage: Eukaryota; Viridiplantae; Streptophyta; Magnoliopsida; Malpighiales; Euphorbiaceae. The record is from RNAcentral.